Molecule: ribosomal RNA, 450 nt
Filed under: uncultured bacterium
Lineage: Bacteria
Description: partial 16S ribosomal RNA
Rfam family: Bacterial small subunit ribosomal RNA
Source: RNAcentral
GUGGGGAAUAUUGGACAAUGGGCGAAAGCCUGAUCCAGCCAUGCCGCGUGUGUGAAGAAGGUCUUCGGAUUGUAAAGCACUUUAAGUUGGGAGGAAGGGCAGUAAGUUAAUACCUUGCUGUUUUGACGUUACCGACAGAAUAAGCACCGGCUAACUUCGUGCCAGCAGCCGCGGUAAUACGAAGGGUGCAAGCGUUAAUCGGAAUUACUGGGCGUAAAGCGCGCGUAGGUGGUUUUGUAAGUUGGAGGUGAAAUCCCCGGGCUCAACCUGGGAACUGCCUCCAAAACUGCAGGACUAGAGUACAGUAGAGGGUAGUGGAAUUUCCUGUGUAGCGGUGAAAUGCGUAGAUAUAGGAAGGAACACCAGUGGCGAAGGCGAAUACCUGGACUGAUACUGACACUGAGGUGCGAAAGCGUGAGGAGCAAACAGGAUUAGAUACCCCAGUAGUCC